GAAACUCCAUGGUGUUCCAUAUAAUAGCUGAAGGGGUUCUAACACGUUCCGCAAGAGCAAGCAUUUCUGUUGCAACUUCUGUAGGUGUAUCAUUAAAAGGUAAAUCCUUGUACCUGAGGGGAUGGAGCUCUGGAACAAGCUCCUGCAGCAUCGAAUCUGUGUUGUAGAGUGGUAAAAAAGUGAUACAUAAAGGUUACUAUUAUAUUUAUAUACACCGACAUAUCUACAGUUAAAAGGUAAAGUACUAACUAACCUUGAACAGGAAGUUUCCCUUCUGCAUGUAGCCGAGGAAGAGCAAGGAAAGCCGGCAUAUACGAUGCACUACAACUGCGCAAAACAAUGCUACGAAGAUUCAAAUUGCUAGCAACUUCUUCAGCAAAAUACAUGAUAUUGUCGUGUAUGACUGUGAUCGUAUGAUUCAUUUCAUCUUUUCCUUCUUCAAUCUUUCGAGUCAAGUGAUCUUGAAGCUGCAUUUUGCAGUUAUUGUUAAGAGCUUCAAGGAACUUUGUGUAGUUGGCGGACGCAUCAAUGGCUGAAAAGUUGUCAGAAAGAGUAAGGAAGACGAAUUCAGGAUGGUUAGAAGGAUCAGGGGAGUUUAAUUUGGUAUGGGCUAAGGUUAUUGAGAAGCCUUUGGAAUGAAGGACACUGCCGAGCUGAAGCAUAGGCGUCAUGUGACCUUGAAAUGGACUUGCUACCAGUACCAAAGGUUUCCCUCUCUUUCUCUCAUCUCCCAUCAUUCUUCCUAUUGCCUACUAGCUACUUAAACUUUAAUCCCUUGCAAUUAUAUUUAUAUGAAAAAAAAAGUCAACAAUAAGAGAGAUUUAUGUCUUUAUCAGGUACACGGUAUUAGGUCGUUGAUAGCAUAUUUAGCAGCUUGUUAAAGCUGAAAAGAAAUGGUUGAAAAAACAUGCUUUAGAUAGUAUAUAUUAACAAUGCAUGUAUAAAUUGAUUUCAAAAUAAGAACACUUAUUGUAAACAAGUAAGCCAAUGACUAAUAUUUUUUAAAUUACAUUAUAUAUAUAUAUAUAUAUAUAUACAUAUAUANUAUAUACAUUAUUUUGUUUUUACAAACUAUUGUGUGACAGAAUGUACAGAUCUAGAACAACGGAUGAAAUUAAUCAAGGGACAUGAUUUGAGGGUGUAUGAUACUACAAUGAGAUAAUAUUUAUCAUAUAAUCACGUAAAUUUUAGCAAUUGGGUAUUUUGGACAAUUAACUAUAUUUAUAAAAGAAAAUUUUUGGAUUUUCAGGGAUAAUAAAUUCUCUUAGUUUUAAAAAUCUGAUUUUUUUUUCAUUAAUUCAAUUUUAAUUCUAAAGUAAUUUGUAAACAUAAUCAAUUUUAUUCUGUCAAAAUAUUUUUUUGUUAGAAUGAGGUUCUUUCGAGAAUUUUAUUCUAUUAGAAUAUUAUUGAAGAAUAACAAAAUUCUUGAAUCCGAGGUUGAAAAAUAACAACAUUCUAAUAUAUUUUUAUACAUCUGAACUUAAAUACAAAUUUUGCAUAUUCUUACAAACUAAAAGCCUUAUACAUUUUAAUAUAAUUGUACAUAUUCUAAAAGAAUAUCAACAAAAUGAAUAAAAUUCUUAAAAAAUAACAACAUUCCUAAAUUGUGUGUAUGAUCAAACUUUAUUCAUUCUUCAAGUUAUUCCUAUUAGGUCUUCAAUGCAUUCUUCCAGCCAUUCCUAUCACAAAUACAAUAAAAACUAAUAAUGGUUAAAAACAUGUUACUUGCAAUUAACUAUCACUUUAUAUAUUCUAGUAGAAUAAAUAGAAUAUGACAGAAUACGUAGAAUACAUUAUGAUAGAAAGACACAGAUUUUAUUCUGGCAUAAUACAUUCUGACAGAAUAUAUAGAAUACAUUCAAGCCAUUCAUAUCACAAAUGCAACAAAAACAUCAAAUCUAACAAUAAAUAUUAAUUCAUUCUGAAAGAAUACAAACAUUUUGAAAGAAUGGAUUUAUAUAAAUAAAUUAUGAUAGGAUACACACAAAUUCAUUCACACCUCAUACUCAACUUUCACAUCAUAAUAGACUAAUUUCUUCUAAAAAACAACACUAGUUGGGUUUUUUAUACAUUGCAAGAGAGAAAAAGUAAAAAACAAAUAGUAAUGGUAUCAUAUUGAGAAUGAAUUAGUCAAUUACCGGGAAUUUGGCUUGAAACCUCUCUUAUGCAUUCUAUCGAACACAUUCUAUACAUUAUCACAUACUUCUGUGUAAAAGAAAAAACACCAACAAAGGAGAAGCUCAAUACACAUAUACAGGGUAAAAGGAACCAACAACAAAAACCAUACUAUAACUCCAGGAAAACCCCACCACACUACCACUAACCAGCAACAAACAAUUGCACACAAGCCAAAGAACCAACAACACAACAAAAAAAACACCACAUGUAAAAAGGUCAACCACCCUGAAAACCAUUCCGGACAACAAGAAUCGCAGAGGAGCCCCAGCAAAACAAAAGCAGACAGUUACGAAUCGAGCCAAUCAAAACUCAAACUUAGGGAAACUCCAUGAAAUAGAAAUGCAUAGGAAGAAUCCAUAGAAACAACCACAUAAAUAUGACCUGAUGUGGAAUAAAGAAAAAAACAACAAAAACAAUCAAAUUUAUUGAAAAGCUAAGUGAUUUGAAAUCAUGAAGAAAAAAUAAAACUGUUUAAAAAAAAUACAAAAGAUGUCAACUUUUGAUUGAAGAUUAAGAUGUGAGAUUGGCUAAUUAUUUCUACUUUUUUACCUGAGAAGAUGAAGACCGAUAGAGGAGGGUGGUCGCUUGAUGACGGUGGUGGGUCAUCACCGCAAACAUGAGGGGGAGGCGUUGCUGGAGAUGAGGCAUUGAUUGAAUGUUUCUGUAGUCGAAGGGGAGAGUCGUUGGAGGAAGAAGAUCUGUAGAUGCAAAUGAAUGGCAGGGGUUAUUUUUAGGUUUUUAAAAUACUGAUUUUAUUUCCUUAAUUAUAGGAUUAAAUUAAAUGACCUCAUUAAUUGUAAAUACAAAAAACUAAAAAUGCCC
This 3000-nucleotide long non-coding RNA is filed under the name Lactuca sativa (garden lettuce). Its description in RNAcentral is "long non-coding RNA (LSAT_LNC009205)". The record is from RNAcentral. Lineage: Eukaryota; Viridiplantae; Streptophyta; Magnoliopsida; Asterales; Asteraceae.